This 500-nucleotide ribosomal RNA is filed under the name uncultured bacterium. Its description in RNAcentral is "partial 16S ribosomal RNA". It matches the Rfam family "Bacterial small subunit ribosomal RNA", at positions 30 to 523 of the family's 1533-position model. The record is from RNAcentral.
AUUGAACGCUGGCGGCAUGCUUUACACAUGCAAGUCGAACGGUAACAGGGUGCUUGCACCGCUGACGAGUGGCGAACGGGUGAGUAAUGCGUCGGAACGUGCCGAGUAGUGGGGGAUAACGCAGCGAAAGUUGUGCUACUACCGCAUACGUACUGAGGUAGAAAGUGGGGGACCUUCGGGCCUCACGCUAUUCGAGCGGCCGCCGUCUGAUUAGCUAGUAGGUGAGGUAAAGGCUCACCUAGGCGACGAUCAGUAGCGGGUCUGAGAGGAUGAUCCGCCACACUGGGACUGAGACACGGCCCAGACUCCUACGGGAGGCAGCAGUGGUGAAUUUUGGACAAUGGGCGAAAGCCUGAUCCAGCCAUGCCGCGUGUCUGAAGAAGGCCUUCGGGUUGUAAAGGACUUUUGUCAGGGAGGAAAUCCCUAGUGCUAAUAACACUGGGGGAUGACAGUACCUGAAGAAUAAGCACCGGCUAACUACGUGCCAGCCGCCGCCGUAA